Molecule: non-coding RNA, 96 nt
Organism: Sordaria brevicollis
Lineage: Eukaryota; Fungi; Ascomycota; Sordariomycetes; Sordariales; Sordariaceae
Source: the annotation of a GenBank genome assembly
GCGCGGUUAGUGUAGUGGUUUAGCACUCUCGUUUCCCAUCUCUCGAGCGAGUGGACAGUGUAACGAGCGGCCCGGGUUCGAGCCCCGGACUGCGCA